Octopus sinensis (East Asian common octopus) is the source of this 1097-nucleotide long non-coding RNA. RefSeq lists it as uncharacterized. The transcript has 2 exons. The record is from RefSeq and is a predicted model, not a curated record. NCBI's taxonomy places the organism in Eukaryota, Metazoa, Mollusca, Cephalopoda, Octopoda, Octopodidae.
UUUCAAAAAGCAGUUUCAACAGAAAAUACUUAAAAUGAUACAUCUGUGCCAGAUUGUUACAAUAUUUUCUCUAAAGUGAAAAAAAGGUACAUGUAUAGUAUUACUAAUAAUAUAUUAACAAAAAAAAGUUGGUUUUUUUUUUAAAGAAUUAAAAGCUAAAUGAUUGUAAAAUAUUUCAUGGAGGAUUCAUGAUGGAAAUUUCUGGAAUAAUUAAAAUGGCCGAUAUUUAGGAACUUUUUACCAACUUCCUGUUUCUUGAUGCACUUUUUUUCUUAUAAGAAAAUUAAAAAUUUUAAGAUUUUUAAUGAUUUUACCCAUAACAACAUCUAUCUGAACCAUUGUAAAUUUAAGUAAAUAAAAAUAUAUUAAAUCACUUUCUGAAUUCGUUUUUCAAAUGUAUAGUAAAUAGCAGGGGCGUAGUAAUACACCCCAAUGUUUUCGAAGACUUUAUAAACUGUAAAGGACUAUUUGUCUCAUUAGUGCAGAUUCAGCCACAACCGUAUGACUAUGGUUGUUGUGCUUAAGCGUCAACUGUCUCUCACCCCAUCCCUUUCAAAGUAUAUAUUAAAAUAAUAUAUACAAUAUAUUUUCAAUGUAAUUCUACAUUGAAAGGAAAGCAUAAUGAUCAAAAUUUAUUUGAUUAUAUCUUUUCUUUAUCCUCAAAAAAAAAAAAAAAAAAGUGUGAGAGGGAGAAUUGACGCAUCUUGUGUCUGGGUAUAAUUUUUGAGGUAACAACUGGUACUUCAAAAAUUAUGCUGCAGACUGCCCCAUGCCCCCUGUUUAAAAAAUUCCUAUGUUUUUAUAUGCCAAAUAUAACGGAUGCCACCUAUUUGGAGUACCAGUUUAUCAGGAGUAAUAAAAUGGAAUCUUUUAUUGGUAAAUUUGUCAAUAUUCUAAUUUCAAAUAAUGGAAUUAAUUAUUGGCAUAUUUUCGUUUGAGAUUUCUAUUUCCUUUUUUAAGGAGUUGGGAACGCCUGAACAUUACCGUCCGGGCGACUAUAUCCUUUAAAAUGAAUACUAAUCAGAAAAUUCUUUUAUUUUAGCUUAAAAAAAAAAUUUUAAAAAAAUUACAAAAAAAAAAUACAACAAAACAAAUAU